This 467-nucleotide ribosomal RNA is filed under the name uncultured bacterium. Its description in RNAcentral is "partial 16S ribosomal RNA". It matches the Rfam family "Bacterial small subunit ribosomal RNA", at positions 28 to 507 of the family's 1533-position model. The record is from RNAcentral.
GACGAACGCUGGCGGCGUGCUUAACACAUGCAAGUCGAACGAUGACGACCGAGCUUGCUCGGUCUGAUUAGUGGCGAACGGGUGAGUAACACGUGAGCAACCUGCCCUUCACUCUGGGAUAACCUCGGGAAAUCGGGGCUAAUACCGGAUAUGAGCUCCUGUCGCAUGGCGGGUGUUGGAAAGUUUUUCGGUGAAGGAUGGGCUCGCGGCCUAUCAGUUUGUUGGUGAGGUAGUGGCUCACCAAGGCGAUGACGGGUAGCCGGCCUGAGAGGGCGACCGGCCACACUGGGACUGAGACACGGCCCAGACUCCUACGGGAGGCAGCAGUGGGGAAUAUUGCACAAUGGGCGAAAGCCUGAUGCAGCGACGCCGCGUGAGGGAUGACGGCCUUCGGGUUGUAAACCUCUUUCAACAGGGAAGAAGCGAAAGUGACGGUACCUGCAGAAGAAGCGCCGGCUAACUACGUG